RNAcentral lists this unclassified non-coding RNA (244 nucleotides) under plant metagenome. RNAcentral's name for it is "partial contains small subunit ribosomal RNA, internal transcribed spacer 1, and 5.8S ribosomal RNA". The record is from RNAcentral.
UCUCCGUUGGUGAACCAGCGGAGGGAUCAUUACCGAGUUUACAACUCCCAAACCCAAUGUGAACCAUACCAAACUGUUGCCUCGGCGGGGUCACGCCCCGGGUGCGUCGCAGCCCCGUAACCAGGCGCCCGCCGGAGGGACCAACCAAACUCUUUCUGUAGUCCCCUCGCGGACGUUAUUUUUACAGCUCUGAGCAAAAAUUCAAAAUGAAUCAAAACUUUCAACAACGGAUCUCUUGGUUCUG